UCCUACGGCCAUACCACCCUGAACACGCCCGAUCUCGUCUGAUCUCGGAAGCUAAGCAGGGUCGGGCCUGGUUAGUACUUGGAUGGGAGACCGCCUGGGAAUACCAGGUGUUGUAGGCU
Molecule: ribosomal RNA, 119 nt
Filed under: Leptobrachium leishanense (Leishan spiny toad)
Lineage: Eukaryota; Metazoa; Chordata; Amphibia; Anura; Megophryidae
Source: RNAcentral